GGUUUAUGGAUUGUGUUGUUCAGUCCCUUUCGCAUUAGACAAGUGUAAAUGCUCAAUAAGUUACGAUGACUGCAAUCAGUCUAUGUAUACCCCUGAUCACAGUAUUUAUUAUCACAUUUAAAGCUUCCUAUUCCACAUACAUGGAUGGAGAUUUCAAAGAUUAAGAAUUACAACUCCUAUUGCUGCAAGGCAGCAUCUGAGCAUCAUGUCAGAAGAUAAUCUCUCUGCUAUAUACAAUGCAAC
Molecule: non-coding RNA, 243 nt
Organism: Pelobates cultripes (western spadefoot toad)
Lineage: Eukaryota; Metazoa; Chordata; Amphibia; Anura; Pelobatidae
Source: the annotation of a GenBank genome assembly